This 405-nucleotide ribosomal RNA is filed under the name uncultured microorganism. RNAcentral's name for it is "bacterial SSU rRNA". It matches the Rfam family "Bacterial small subunit ribosomal RNA", at positions 9 to 418 of the family's 1533-position model. The record is from RNAcentral.
GAGUUUGAUCAUGGCUCAGAUUGAACGCUGGCGGCAUGCCUUACACAUGCAAGUCGAACGGUAACAGGUCUUCGGAUGCUGACGAGUGGCGAACGGGUGAGUAAUACAUCGGAACGUGCCCGAUCGUGGGGGGAUAACGAAGCGAAAGCUUUGCUAAUACCGCAUACGAUCUACGGAUGAAAGCAGGGGACCGCAAGGCCUUGCGCGAACGGAGCGGCCGAUGGCAGAUUAGGUAGUUGGUGGGAUAAAAGCUUACCAAGCCGACGAUCUGUAGCUGGUCUGAGAGGACGACCAGCCACACUGGGACUGAGGCACGGCCCAGACUCCUACGGGAGGCAGCAGUGGGAAUUUUGGACAAUGGGCGAAAGCCUGAUCCAGCCAUGCCGCGUGCAGGAUGAAGGCCUU